AAAAAAAUAAACCAUGACUUUUCAUGUAACGUUUGACUGUUUGUAUUAUAUGAAUUUUUUUAUAAUUAAUAUUUUUAUUAUUGUUAGAAGAUAAAGCAUGAUUAAUUCUUUAUGCGUGACUUGUCUUUUUAAUUUUUUCAUAAUUUUUUUCAAAUAAGACGGAUGGUCAAACGUUGGGCACGGAAACUCAGGGUUUGUCUUUUU
This is a microRNA precursor of Oryza rufipogon (brownbeard rice), 204 nucleotides long. It matches the Rfam family "MIR812 microRNA precursor family". NCBI's taxonomy places the organism in Eukaryota, Viridiplantae, Streptophyta, Magnoliopsida, Poales, Poaceae. The record is from Rfam.